ACCUCCGUACGGGAGGCAGCAGGUGGGGAAUAUUGCAACGAAAUCGGGGGAAAGCCCAUGACUGCAGCCCAUGCCGCGUGUGUGAAAAGGCCUUCGGGUUGUAAAGCACUUUCAGUAGGGAGGAAGGUAGUGUAGUUAACACCUGCAUUAUUUGACGUUACCUACAGAAGAAGCACCGGCUAACUCCGUGCCAGCAGCCGCGGUAAUACGGAGGGUGCGAGCGUUAAUCGGAAUUACUGGGCGUAAAGCGCAUGCAGGCGGCCUGUUAAGUCAGAUGUGAAAGCCCGGGGCUUAACCUCGGAAUUGCAUUUGAAACUGGCAGGCUAGAGUCUUGUAGAGGGGGGUAGAAUUUCAGGUGUAGCGGUGAAAUGCGUAGAGAUCUGAAGGAAUACCAGUGGCGAAGGCGGCCCCCUGGACAAAGACUGACGCUCAGAUGCGAAAGCGUGGGGAGCAAACAGGAUUGAGA
This 466-nucleotide ribosomal RNA is filed under the name uncultured bacterium. RNAcentral describes it as "bacterial SSU rRNA". It matches the Rfam family "Bacterial small subunit ribosomal RNA", at positions 334 to 782 of the family's 1533-position model. The record is from RNAcentral.